UCCCGCCUCGUCUAGCGGUAGGACAUCAGAUUUUGGCUCUGAAGGCCGUGGUUCGAAUCCAUGGGCGGGAACCA
RNAcentral lists this transfer RNA (74 nucleotides) under Nitratireductor arenosus. RNAcentral describes it as "Nitratireductor sp. CAU 1489 tRNA-Gln". It matches the Rfam family "tRNA". Rfam says of the family: Transfer RNA (tRNA) molecules are approximately 80 nucleotides in length. Their secondary structure includes four short double-helical elements and three loops (D, anti-codon, and T loops). The record is from RNAcentral. Lineage: Bacteria; Pseudomonadati; Pseudomonadota; Alphaproteobacteria; Hyphomicrobiales; Phyllobacteriaceae.